RNAcentral lists this ribosomal RNA (253 nucleotides) under uncultured bacterium. RNAcentral's name for it is "partial 16S ribosomal RNA". It matches the Rfam family "Bacterial small subunit ribosomal RNA", at positions 524 to 776 of the family's 1533-position model. The record is from RNAcentral.
GACGUAGGGCGCGAGCGUUGUCCGGAUUUAUUGGGCGUAAAGAGCUCGUAGGCGGUUUGUCGCGUCUGCUGUGAAAACCCGAGGCUCAACCUCGGGCCUGCAGUGGGUACGGGCAGACUAGAGUGCGGUAGGGGAGAUUGGAAUUCCUGGUGUAGCGGUGGAAUGCGCAGAUAUCAGGAGGAACACCGAUGGCGAAGGCAGAUCUCUGGGCCGUAACUGACGCUGAGGAGCGAAAGCGUGGGGAGCGAACAGG